AGGGGGGACCGGAGGGUCGCGCGGGCGCCUGCGGGCGCCCGCGAGGAAAGUCCGGGCUGCAUAGGACGGGAUGCCUGGUAACGCCAGGGCGGCGCAAGCCGACGGAAAGUGCCACAGAAAAGACACCGCCCGCGCGAGCGGGUAAGGGUGAAAUGGUGCGGUAAGAGCGCACCGCGGUCCGGGUAACCGGACCGGCAGGGCAAACCCCAUCCGCAGCAAGGCCGAACAGGGGGGAUGGACUGGUUCCGGUCCGCUCGACUCCCGGGUAGGCCGCUGGAGGCCGCCGGCGACGGCGGCCCGAGAGGAAUGACCCUCACUCGCCCAAGGGCGGGUACAGAACCCGGCUUACAGGUCCCCCCUGCCU
Molecule: RNase P RNA, 364 nt
Filed under: bacterium
Lineage: Bacteria
Description: RNase P RNA component class A
Rfam family: Bacterial RNase P class A
About the family: Ribonuclease P (RNase P) is a ubiquitous endoribonuclease, found in archaea, bacteria and eukarya as well as chloroplasts and mitochondria.
Source: RNAcentral